GGGCAGUUAGCACAGUGGUAGCGCACUUCCUUCACACGGAAGGGGUCACAAGUUCGAAUCUUGUACUGCCCAUCA
RNAcentral lists this transfer RNA (75 nucleotides) under Alkalinema sp. CACIAM 70d. RNAcentral's name for it is "tRNA-Val". It matches the Rfam family "tRNA". Rfam says of the family: Transfer RNA (tRNA) molecules are approximately 80 nucleotides in length. Their secondary structure includes four short double-helical elements and three loops (D, anti-codon, and T loops). Lineage: Bacteria; Bacillati; Cyanobacteriota; Cyanophyceae; Leptolyngbyales; Leptolyngbyaceae. The record is from RNAcentral.